GCAUAUCAAUAAGCGGAGGAAAAGAAACCAACAGGGAUUGCCCUAGUAACGGCGAGUGAAGCGGCAACAGCUCAAAUUUGAAAUCUGGCUCUCGGGCCCGAGUUGUAAUUUGUAGAGGAUGUUUCUGGCGACGUGUCUUCCGAGUUCCCUGGAACGGGACGCCAUAGAGGGUGAGAGCCCCGUCCGGUCGUACGCCUAGCCUCUGUGAAACUCCUUCGACGAGUCGAGUAGUUUGGGAAUGCUGCUCAAAAUGGGAGGUAUACGUCUUCUAAAGCUAAAUACCGGCCAGAGACCGAUAGCGCACAAGUAGAGUGAUCGAAAGAUGAAAAGCACUUUGAAAAGAGGGUUAAAUAGUACGUGAAAUUGCUGAAAGGGAAGCGCUCAUGACCAGACUUGGGCUCGGUGAAUCAUCCGGCGUUCUCGCCGGUGCACUUUGCCGGCCCAGGCCAGCAUCAGCUCGCCUCGGGGGAUAAAGGCUUCGGGAAUGUAGCUCCCUCGUGGAGUGUUAUAGACCGUUGCGUAAUACCCUGGGGCGGGCUGAGGUACGCGUUCUGCAAGGAUGCUGGCGUAAUGGUCAUCAGUGACCCGUCUUGAAACACGGACC
Molecule: ribosomal RNA, 604 nt
Filed under: Acremonium hansfordii
Lineage: Eukaryota; Fungi; Ascomycota; Sordariomycetes; Hypocreales; Bionectriaceae
Description: eukaryotic LSU rRNA
Rfam family: Eukaryotic large subunit ribosomal RNA
Source: RNAcentral